Molecule: transfer RNA, 101 nt
Organism: Botryobasidium botryosum FD-172 SS1
Lineage: Eukaryota; Fungi; Basidiomycota; Agaricomycetes; Cantharellales; Botryobasidiaceae
Rfam family: tRNA
About the family: Transfer RNA (tRNA) molecules are approximately 80 nucleotides in length. Their secondary structure includes four short double-helical elements and three loops (D, anti-codon, and T loops).
Source: Rfam
GCUUCGUUGGCUCAGUUGGUAGAGCGUAGGUCUCAUAUUUGAGUAUGACUGCAUAAUUUGCGGUGAUCCUAAGGUCGCAAGUUCGAGCCUUGCACGGAGCA